AAAGACUUCAGUUUUCAAGGCAUUAAAAAUUUUAUUUUUAUUUUUUAAAGGUAUUUUGUCUGGAUUGUUCAAUUACAAGCUUGAUUUUUACUACUUUUACUACAGUCUGUGUUACAGAUGUUGUCAAUAGUUCACAUAAACAAUCUCAAAGAGUUAAGUUUCUGCUGUUACACCUGCUAUUGCUGUUGUAAAUACUCAAAAUUUUAGGAAGUUGUAUUGCUAUUUAAAAAAUCCUUAUCUGUACGUAACAGACGAUGGAGACGAAGUGAUUAUUAUGUGUGGUAAAAGAUUAUUAUUUUUAUGAAGUUUUUCAUUUUCUGACUUCGUGAUGAAACUUAUUGGAGUACACUUGUCAUGGACAUGGAAGGAGUAUUGCCGCUACAAGCAUGAACAAUAAUAAAACAUUCCAAAGAACAAUUUGUUAUAACGAUUAGAUUUGUUGUUUUAAUGUAUAGAUGCUUUUUGAAUAUUCUUAUUAUAUAUCAUCCUAAUUUCAAAAUAAUGUUUCAUUUUUUUAAUAAGAAAAGUACUUUUGUAAUAUUGUUUUAUAGUU
Molecule: long non-coding RNA, 553 nt
Organism: Hydra vulgaris (swiftwater hydra)
Lineage: Eukaryota; Metazoa; Cnidaria; Hydrozoa; Anthoathecata; Hydridae
Source: RefSeq, a predicted model, not a curated record